RNAcentral lists this transfer RNA (76 nucleotides) under Rhodospirillales bacterium. RNAcentral describes it as "tRNA-Thr". It matches the Rfam family "tRNA". From Rfam's summary of the family: Transfer RNA (tRNA) molecules are approximately 80 nucleotides in length. The record is from RNAcentral. Lineage: Bacteria; Pseudomonadati; Pseudomonadota; Alphaproteobacteria; Rhodospirillales.
GCCGGAUUAGCUCAGCAGGUAGAGCGGCUGAUUUGUAAUCAGCAGGUCGGGGGUUCGAAACCCUCAUCCGGCACCA